GUCACUAUAGCUCAGUGGUAGAGCGUACGAUUGCAAUAAUUUUCGUUAUCAUUAUCGUAAGGCCUCGUGUUCGAACCACGGUAGUGACU
Favolaschia claudopus is the source of this 89-nucleotide non-coding RNA. The record is from the annotation of a GenBank genome assembly. Lineage: Eukaryota; Fungi; Basidiomycota; Agaricomycetes; Agaricales; Mycenaceae.